Molecule: ribosomal RNA, 426 nt
Filed under: Pseudolactococcus raffinolactis
Lineage: Bacteria; Bacillati; Bacillota; Bacilli; Lactobacillales; Streptococcaceae
Description: bacterial SSU rRNA
Rfam family: Bacterial small subunit ribosomal RNA
Source: RNAcentral
UUAAAUGAGAGUUUGAUCCUGGCUCAGGACGAACGCUGGCGGCGUGCCUAAUACAUGCAAGUUGAACGCUUGAUUUUCACCGAAGCUUGCUUCACCGAAAAUCAAGAGUAGCGAACGGGUGAGUAACGCGUGGGUAACCUACCUAUCAGCGGGGGAUAACUAUUGGAAACGAUAGCUAAUACCGCAUAACAAUGUUGGAUGCAUAUUCGACAUUUGAAAGUACCAACUGGUACACUGAGAGAUGGACCCGCGUUGUAUUAGCUAGUUGGUAGUGUAAUGGACUACCAAGGCGAUGAUACAUAGCCGACCUGAGAGGGUGAUCGGCCACAUUGGGACUGAGACACGGCCUAAACUCCUACGGGAGGCAGCAGUAGGGAAUCUUCGGCAAUGGACGAAAGUCUGACCGAGCAACGCCGCGUGAGUGAA